GUUACUGGAUUUGCUGGAGGUCAGCCCCUGAUGCUGAAGUUCUUAGAGAAGGCUUUCCUUCCUUGUGUGGAGUUCAGCCUGUUCUGAAAAUCUGUGAAUUAAUAUAUGCUCAAUGACACAAAUGUAAUGACACGGAAAAACCAGACACAUCUCUUCACCGCAGAUCUUUAUUAUAAAACAUAUAAGUGAGGCUUCAAUAUAUCAGUAAAUCAUGACAUGGCUUAUCAUCCAAUAAUCAUGACUCAAUUUUCCAUUAAAGUAUAUUUACUCAUUUUUUAAAAAUAUUAUGAAUUACAUUGCUACAAAUUAUGCUAAAUGUGUGGUAAUUUACACAACUAUAACUUGAGUUUUGGACUUUAGUAGAUUGGCAUUUAAAUGCUGGCUGUGAACUAGCUAAGUGGCCUUAUUGUUCUCACCGUGACAUAGUAAUGAAACAAUAUUGGAAGACAGCUAUAACAACUGUAAUAUAAAGUGAAAAGAUCUGUGAUUUAUAUUGGUGACAGAAGUACUAUCAUAUCGCUGAGGCUUGUGACCUGUAGUCAAAAUUCAAGCAAGUAUUAAGUCUGAGUUAGAAGGCAAUAGAAAUAAAGAUGAGCUGGACACAGUGGCACACACCUAUAAUCCCAGCAACUUGGGAGGCUGAGGCAGGAGGAUCACAAGUUCAAAGCCAGCCUCAGCUACUUAUCGAGGCUCUAAGCAAAGCGAGAAUUUGUCUCAAAAUAAAAAAUAAAAAGGGCUGGGAUUGUAGCUCAGUGAUAAGUCCCUUGGGUGCAAUUCCCAGUACCAAAAAUAUAAAUGAAACCUUUCCCCAUCCAAGUCCACAGACCCUUUUGCCUGAAUUCUACCUACUAAAUCCUAUGGACACUGGUUUAAAAUUUUGUGCUUUAGGAACACACCAUAUCUUGUGAAAUGUAAGAUAGAACUGGAAUAUUAGUUCCUUUAAAUAUGCUCAAUUGUGAUAGAAAUUAAUUUGUUGUAUCAUAAUUAAUAAAUUAAGGGGGGAAAUAUUGUAUUUUUCCUUUAGUUUCUUAUGUGCAUUAUUCAAACAAAGUCUAAGUGAAUGGAAAGCCAUUUUUAUUUUCCUACAAAGUUUUUU
RNAcentral lists this long non-coding RNA (1096 nucleotides) under Marmota monax (woodchuck). Lineage: Eukaryota; Metazoa; Chordata; Mammalia; Rodentia; Sciuridae. The record is from RNAcentral.